GACGAACCGUGCGAACGUUGUUCGGAAUCACUGGGCUUAAAGGGCGCGUAGGUGGUUGAUCAAGUCUGGGGUGAAAUCUUUCGGCUUAACCGGAAAAGUGCCUUGGAUACUGAUCAGCUGGAGGGAGGUAGGGGCAGUUGGAACUUCCAGUGGAGCGGUGAAAUGCGUAGAUAUCGGGAGGAACACCAGUGGCGAAGGCGGCUUCCUGGACCUGUUCUGACACUGAGGAGCGAAAGCGUGGGGAGCGAUCCGG
This 253-nucleotide ribosomal RNA is filed under the name uncultured bacterium. Its description in RNAcentral is "partial 16S ribosomal RNA". It matches the Rfam family "Bacterial small subunit ribosomal RNA", at positions 524 to 776 of the family's 1533-position model. The record is from RNAcentral.